UUUGUGCUCUACGGUUUCAGUGCGGAUCGCAGACAACCGGGUGGCCGGGCUUACGCAUGGCAUGUUCAUUCUAUGAGUUAAUAAUUAGUCUGAGAGCGCGAUGAUGGUUUAUGCGUUCCCACUGUUCACCCAAGCCGCUCGUUAAAGUUACCCAGGCGUGGCGUUCCCUCUUUUUGUCUUCGAUGUGUGUGCACCGUCUGGCGGCUUCCGUCGCAGCAGGGCCACUGUGAAACGACGUCGACGAAGGACAUGUUCUUCCCGUCUCGCUCGUCGCGCGACAAUAUGUGGCAUGAGGCAAGGAAGCAGGAGCGCAAGAUACGGGGCAUGCUUGUCGACCUCAAGAAGCGGGCCGAGCGCCGGAAGGAGUUUUACGAGCGAAUUAAGCAAGACCCGGCCCAGUUCCUUCAGCUUCAUGGGCGGCGUUGCAAGAUACACAUCGACCUGGCAAUUGCGCAAGCUGCUGACAGCCCAGUCACUAUGAUGCCAUGGCAGGGAAAUCGGGACGUGAUGAUCGACCGAUUUGAUGUCCGCGCCCACCUGGACACAAUACCAGAGUUCAAGCACUCUGAUGAUGGCCCAGAGCUGACCGAAGAGCAAAAGGAAGAAGAGAGGCAGAUCAACUAUGAGCGCUAUCGCACGCUUGUUCAGAAUGAUUUCCUAGGAGUGUCAGAGGACAAGUUCUUGCAUCAGAUCUUCUUGGAGGAACGCUAUGGCCCUGUCGGGAAGCCUGUUGGCACCACGGAGGAGGAAAAAAAAAAGCUUGCUGAGAAGAAGGCGGCGAUUGGCUACACGUAUGAGGACAGCACACCUGCUCCCUCGACGUCGUCCAAUCAGAAUGAUGAGCCAGAAGAGGAAGAAGAUAAAGAGGACCUCAGUGAUAUUGAUCUUGAUGUGACUGUUGACGUGAACGAACUCACCAUUGAGCAGGCACGGGAGAUGAACGACCAGUCGCACGCCUAUGGCAUGGAGUCCACGGAUUUCAUUUCGUACCUUCACCUGGACAAGGAGGAGCAGGAAAGACUGAAGCAAGCUAGGGAGCUCGAAGAAGAGAAAGCCAUGUACUCGGGUCGGAAGUCGCGCCGGGAGAGGCGGGCUCUGCGAGAGAAGAAACUCAAGAAUCGUAAGGUCACCAGCCCACCAAGCUAUGCAGCCAGAGCCAGCCCAACGUACAAGCCGUUCAGAGCCCAGUCAAGUUCCCGGUCACGAUCUAGAUCUCCCCAGAACAUGGGUGAGAUCACCUUCAUCACAAGCUUUGGUGAUGAAGGGUCCGACGACGAUGAUGGCGCCGCCAAGAAAGGCCAUGCGAAAGCUGGCGGACCUUCAACAGCUGGUGCCGGCGGUGGAACUUCGUCGUCGGGAAGCAGGGCUGCCGCAGCGUCCUCCAGGUGUGACGGUGGUCGUGGAAGUGGCGGCUUCUCCAGGCGAAGGUCACGAGACCGUUCGAGGUUAGGAAGGUCUAGGGAUCGUCAUGCUGGCUCAUCUCACGGUUCGAGCCGAGGGCGUCUGUCGUCCAGAAGGCGUUCCUCAAGUUCCAGGUCGUCGUCUGGCGGCAGGGUUCGCCGCAGAAGCCGUAGCCGAGGCCGCGCAUCGUACCGUUCCAGGCGAGGUUCCAGGCGGCGAUCCCGGUCACUGCGACUGAGCUCGCCACGUCAUCGGGGCCGCUGGACUUCAUCACGCAGUCGUUCAAGGUCGCGGUCCAGGCACUGGGGGCACGGCCGGAAGCGUUCCACUUCAUCUCCGAGGUCGCCGAAGGGUCAUGAGCGGGAGCGAAGGUCGCGGUCGCGAUCGUCACCGCCGCCUGCCCCACGCAAGCUGCCGAGCCCACCCCGAAAGUCUUACUACCGUCACAGCCUGUCGCGGUCGCGGUCAAAGUCACUGAGCAGCAGCGACGACGAGGAAAAGAAGAAGAACCGGUCACGCAGCAACAGCACCAGCAGUGAGACGUCAAAGGGUCAGCAGGGCUCGGCGGGUGCCUCCAACGGCACUCGCCGCAACUGGCCGUCGGCGGACGCGGUGAGACCCAACGUCUCUGUGGGUAAACCAGGUCCUGCCUCCAAAACACCAGCAGGUGCCAGUGCAGCAGCUGGUGGAGGAACGGGAGGUCUCACGUUGAGGGAGAAGCUCAAGCGAAAGAUGCAGGCUGCUCUCAACAAGCAGUACAAGGCCGACAAGCGGGCUGAGCGUGAGAAGCAGGACAAGAUUCAGCAGGAACGCUGGGAUCGGGCUGAGGAACUGCGGGGAAUGGCCCUCCGUCUUCGCCAGAGGUAGGUCCGGCGUCUUUCUCGAACUGCUCCUCCUUCGCCGAAAAUCUCCCGUUGGACGGGCCCGAUCCAAUGAUGACAGAGAUGGGAACGGGAGAAGAGGCACAAGGAAAGGGACGACUAUGACUACGAACCCGAUGGAAGCCGAGACGGCCGUGACGGCUACUCCAGUCGCUCUGGCAGCCGCUCGCGAAGCCAAAGUCUAAGCCCUGAACCCCGCCCCCCAGGCGAGUCG
This 2496-nucleotide unclassified non-coding RNA is filed under the name Dermacentor andersoni. RNAcentral describes it as "cLK4-associating serine/arginine rich protein-like". Lineage: Eukaryota; Metazoa; Arthropoda; Arachnida; Ixodida; Ixodidae. The record is from RNAcentral.